CCCUUAGAUGUUCUGGGCCGCACGCGCGCUACACUGUUCGACGCAGCGAGUCUUAACCUUGACCGAAAGGUUUGGGUAAUCUUCAGCAAAGUCGAACGUGAUGGGGAUCGAUCAUUGCAAUUAUUGAUCGUGAACGAGGAAUUCCUAGUAAGUGCAAGUCAUCAGCUUGCGCCGAUUACGUCCCUGCCCUUUGUACACACCGCCCGUCGCUACUACCGAUUGAAUGGUUUAGUGAGAUCUCUGGAUUGACGCUGGCUAGGGGGCGACCCUUGGCCGGACUGUUGAGAAACUGCUCAAACUUGAUCAUUUAGAGGAAGUAAAAGUCGUAACA
This 331-nucleotide ribosomal RNA is filed under the name uncultured eukaryote. Its description in RNAcentral is "partial 18S ribosomal RNA". It matches the Rfam family "Eukaryotic small subunit ribosomal RNA", at positions 1470 to 1796 of the family's 1831-position model. The record is from RNAcentral.